GGAAGUCUUCCAAGCAUAAUUCACGUUUGUGAAAUACUGGGAGUGGCCAAGACAAAGUCUGCAAGAAGUACUAGGUUUUGGCAGGGGCAGCAAAACUGUUCGUCAAGUGGAUCUUUAAGGGGACACUUGAAGAAGAUGGAUUUUUUUUAAAUGACAUGGUAGCAAAGCUAGUCCAUUGGGACAUGGAAGAGGUGAAGUAGUUCUGUGGAAGAGAGGAAAUGUCGCACGAUUCCUGUCCUGUGGACACGAACCAGCUUGUGCUGGGUGGGCUCUCUCAGGGACAAUAGAUGCAUUGGAAGGGGGUGGAGGGAGGGCUAUCGACACAAUCUCACAUUCAAUAUACUUCACAAAAGGAUGCAGUGAAAGAGGGUUGAGUGUAUAUAAUACAGUGCAGCAGAUGAACAAUAGGUUAUAGAUGAGAAGACAAAGGUUUAUUAUCAAAAGUAGUCCAUCAUCUGCGUCUGAGAGUGAAUGCAUCAUGCAAGGUGACACCGAGUGUUGGCAGUGGCAUGAGGGACAUGCAUUCCUGAACUUUGUUCAUUUUAUGUGGACAAGUAUCUGUAUUGCUUAUCUACAGUUACAAAACUGGGUAGCAGAGACAUCAGGGAUUAAACAAUGAGAACACAGUAUUUCGUUUCUACAGAUGAUAUUUUCAGCUCAAAAUCAAUACAUUUCAGUGGGCUGUAGGAUUGAAGAAGGUUAAUCUUCUGUUGCCACAGCCCAUGUUAUGUCUCUCCACUAAACACAUGCUGCACUUGAGUUUGCAGCAUGCACAAAUAUUAGAAUUUUAUUGGAGAAGUACUUGAUUUCCAGUGCUGAUUAAAAAAAACCCAACUUUAUGUGCAUGUUUUACUUGGGCCUAUCCUUGGUUUGCACCAUGAGAGGAACUGAAGCUCCCCACUGUAACCACUUAGAACUCUAAACAGGGAAUGGCAACAAAAAGGAAUUUUGAGGUUUUAUAAGAGACUCACCUGUUAAUCCAUAUUUGGCCACCUUCCAUGCGAUGGAGCAAUGUAGCUGAGUUGUGGGUUGACGUAGGCUUGCAUCACCACCCCGAACCAGAUUGCAUCUGCAGUCCUCUGGAACUGACUGCAUGCCUGAGCUGAUAAAAGAUGCCGUGGAACCGUGGAUCUCUGGGGCCUUGGCAAGAUGCUUUCGCCAUAUCCUGUCUCUCGAUUGCCUCGUCCUCUGCAAGACAAAAGAGUGAGAAUCAGCGUUGUGUGUUGUUACUCAGAGAACAGUUUGGUAACUGCUUUGACAGGCGAUAGAAGAAAACAGUGUGGUGUGGCCACAGCAAGCACAGGCUUUUCCUAACAAUUUAUAAUUGCACUAUGAUCCCAACGAGGAGUGGUGCUCGAACCUCCUUUUGAUUACCUGUGUUCUCUUCUCUCACUGUAACAACGUCGUUUCUUUCCAACUUGCACACAUUCAUGCAAUAAUGCCAAGAUUCACCAUGCAGAUUAAAGUAGGUUUACAAAUUAAGGAAAGGCUGGUGCAGAACAAAAGGAAAAUUAAGUUUUCCCAGCAAUUUUGCACUUACUUUUAAUCAAGUCCUGUCAGUGUCAGGUGUUGUGUUAGAUACACACUCAGUGAGGCCUGUGAGAAUUUUCUAUGUGUAAAGGCUGCAGGACUGAGCCCUAGCAAAUCACACUAUUCUAAAACUGGUGGCCAGUAAGCAAUAGGUGGGCUCUUCUGGGAAAAAAAAUGGGAAGAAAACUUGGUGGGAUCUUGAUCCUUUGCAGUGUCACCUUUCACAGUUGAGUGACUAGCAAAAGAAAGAAAAAAGAUGAGCUAAAUCACCUUGAAGAUGGAUGCCUCCUGCUGCAGAAUAGAACGAAACCCAGUGACGUGCUGCCUCCCAUUAGAUCUGAUACAACUGCUGUAUGAUAAAGGUUAAUUUCUGAAAAUCAACCGUAAACCUAUAGGUCAGCCACUAAGACAGUGACUUGGCAAAUUUUUCAUUGCAAAGUGUAUGAGAGUUUCCUGCCUUCAGUCUGUGACACUGCAGACAGUGGAUUAUUGAAUGAAUCCAGUGAAGUUUUAAUCCCACUAUGAAUUUAUUUUCCAUGAGUAGAUUAUGAACAGAAACCUUUGAUUUCUAUUAAUUAUGUAUCUUUGAGUGAAAAGCUCUUGUGUGUGUAUAUAUACAUUUAAUAACAGGAAAUGUAACGAACACAUAUUUUCAUUAAAUAAAACAGAUAAACCUAUCAAAGCAUGUUUUCAU
This is a long non-coding RNA of Athene cunicularia (burrowing owl), 2224 nucleotides long. RefSeq lists it as uncharacterized. The transcript has 3 exons. The record is from RefSeq and is a predicted model, not a curated record. NCBI's taxonomy places the organism in Eukaryota, Metazoa, Chordata, Aves, Strigiformes, Strigidae.